RNAcentral lists this unclassified non-coding RNA (2470 nucleotides) under Hevea brasiliensis (rubber tree). The record is from RNAcentral. Lineage: Eukaryota; Viridiplantae; Streptophyta; Magnoliopsida; Malpighiales; Euphorbiaceae.
AGCUAGGGUUUGAGGCAGCUGAGUUCCGCAGACUAAAACCCUAGCUCCUCCCUCUCCUUCAACCGUCGUCACGCCGCUCUCUUUUCGUAAACACAUAACUUUUAACCCCCUUUUUUAGAUCAUCCUCCAUAAUCAGUAACACAAUUAGAUUAUCGGAAAAGGCUUGGAGAGUGUAGAAGGCUGCUUUUAUUGGCUCUUGCCCCAAGUGUAGCUGUUGGUGGAUGCGUUCUUAUUCAUCUUCUAUAGUUGAGGGCUAAGUUUUCUCUAUGGCUUCCAGGAGUAGCAUCCGUCUUAUUUCAUACUCGAAUGAGAUUAUAAAUGGUGAACCAAUCUAUAUUUCCUCUAACUGCUAUCCUAUUAAAGCUCACAAAUAUGAGCCUGCUGGGCUUGCUUUUCACUCUGCUGCUCUUAGACUAAUUGGGCAUGUUGAGAAAGAAGACCCCAAAGAUGGCAAAGAAGAUGUUCCUAAUGACAAGGAACAGACAUUUGCCUAUUCAUCAGAGUCAUACAGCUCUAAGGGGAAGAAGAAGUCUUCUACCGGCGAAAAGGUACAAGAUCAUUAUGCAUUAUUAGGGUUGAGCAAUCUAAGGUAUCUUGCUUCUGAGGAUCAGAUAAGGAAGAGCUAUCGUGAUGCUGCAUUGAGGCAUCAUCCUGACAAGCUGGCUUCACUUCUUCUAGCUGAGGAAACUGAAGCUGCAAAACAAGCCAAGAAGGAGGAAAUAGAAAACCACUUCAAAGCUAUUCAGGAAGCAUAUGAGGUUCUUAUGGACCCUGUUAGGAGAAGGAUUUAUGACUCCACGGAUGAAUUUGAUGAUGAAAUCCCAACUGAAUGUGCUCCACAAGAUUUUUUUAAGGUCUUUGGACCUGCAUUUUUAAGGAAUGGUCGUUGGUCCGUCACCCAACCCAUCCCUUCAUUAGGUGAUGAGAAUACUCCAAUUAAAGAAGUGGAUAGCUUUUAUAAUUUCUGGUACAGCUUCAAAAGUUGGAGAGAGUUCCCACAUGCUGAUGAGUUUGAUCUUGAACAAGCUGAAUCUCGUGAUCACAAGAGGUGGAUGGAAAGGCAGAAUGCAAAACUUUCAGAGAAAGCCAGAAAGGAAGAAACCGCCAGGGUGCGUACACUUGUUGACAAUGCCUAUAGAAAAGACCCUAGAAUCUUAGGAAGAAAAGAGGCGGAGAAAGCAGAGAAGCAGAGAAAGAAGGACGCUAAACUACUUGCAAAGAAAUUACAGGAGGCAGAAGCAAUUAGGAUUGUUGAAGAGGACAAGCGUAAGAAAGAGGAAGAGGAGAAAAGAGCAGCUGAAGUUGCUUUGCAGCAGAAGAAGUUGAAGGAGAAAGAAAAGAAAUUGUUGCGAAAAGAGCGUAGUCGUUUAAGAACCCUUGCUGCUCCUGUUCUGUCUCAGCGUUUGCUUGGGCUAAAUGAUGACGAUGUAGAAGGUCUAUGCAUGUCACUUGACAUUGAGCAACUGAGGAACUUAUGUGAUAAAGCCGAUGGACAGGGUGAGAUUGUUAUUGCUGAACUUCUUAGGGGGGCACUUGGACAUGAACACAACCUGAAAUAUGAGAAUAAAGAUGAAAAGAUUAAGUCGCAGCAAAAUGGUUCUCUGGACAGUAAAAAACAAGUUCCUCUGAUGAGCAGUGAGAAAAAAGAGAAACCUUGGAGCAAAGAAGAAAUUGAUCUUUUGAGGAAGGGGAUGCUGAAAUAUCCUAAAGGAACUUCUCGAAGAUGGGAAGUUAUUUCUGAUUAUAUUGGUACCGCAAGGACAGUUGAAGAGAUCCUGAAGGCUACAAAAACAGUUCUGCUCCAGAAGCCCGACUCUGCUAAAGCCUUUGACUCCUUCCUUGAGAAAAGAAAGCCUGCACCAACUAUUGUUUCUCCUCUUUCCACGAGGGCAGAAGUAGAGGGAGUAGAAAAUAGUAGCAAGCCUGAAAGUGGAAGCGCCAAAGUAGCUGAUUCUCAGGAGACCCCUAGUCAAAACACAAACAGCCAGAACACUGAGGAUGCACCUACAGCAAACGGAGUUUCUUCGAGUUCUGAUUCAGACGUAUGGUCUGCUGUUCAAGAAAAAGCCUUAGUUCAAGCUCUGAAAACCUUCCCCAAGGAAACCAGCCAGCGGUGGGAACGAGUGGCAACUGCUGUCCCUGGGAAGACUAUGAACCAGUGUAAAAAAAAGUUUGCAUUACUCAAAGAGAAUUUCAGGAGCAAGAAAAGUGCAGUGUGAGGUUAGUGGUGCUUGAAACUGCUGAGUCUAGUUUUUUUCUUUUAUUUCUAUUUUCUAUUGUUCAGGCAGCCGCAACAAGCUCACUCUUGUAAUGCAUUGUGACAACACCCCACACCCCAGUCCAUUUUCAGUACCAUUUUUGUCAUUAAGCAGUAGCAUUUACAUAUCUACUAUUCAGUACGGCAUUGUGAAGUUACUAUACUUGAAUACAGUAAUAUUUGAUGGGAAACACUGAUGAUAUCUAAAGUUAU